Long non-coding RNA from Triticum aestivum (bread wheat), 6281 nucleotides. RefSeq lists it as uncharacterized. The record is from RefSeq and is a predicted model, not a curated record. NCBI's taxonomy places the organism in Eukaryota, Viridiplantae, Streptophyta, Magnoliopsida, Poales, Poaceae. The transcript has 7 exons.
CGCUGUCGAUCCUAUCCCCGAUCUCCAUCCUCUCGAUAGUUCUUUCGUUGCCGCCCACACGGGCAGACCCCGCCGCCGCCGAGGGGAGGGGACGAAACCGGAGACGCCGCCGCCUCCGUCCGACGGGAGAAGCAGGGGAGAAGCCGUCGUCCGAGGAGAGACCCUGCCGCCGCGGAUCCAGGGCAGGGCGGCUUGAAUCCCUGUCCCCGGGGUCGCCCCCGCCGAUCUCCGGGAGACGCCGUCAUCCCCGCCGCGUCUCCAGGGCAGGGCGGUUUCAAUUCACCUCACCCUCCAGAGGGGCUCCGAGACCAGGCCAGGAUCCCCUGUAGCCUGGGGAGGGGUUCAGUGACCCGUCCGAAGCGGAACUCGUCUACGACCACAUGCUCUGGGCGGUCCUGCACGAGGCUUUCAACUGCAGCAACGUGGACAUCUACGGGAGGCUGGCGAUUGGGAAAUCUACCGCAUUAUUCUUGUGUGAAGAGUGGACUGCCACACCUGUUUGCGAAGCCCUUGGUGACAUUGCUGAUGUAUCUGUGGCAGCUAUUUUGUUCUGGGGUCAAAGGAUUAUGUAAUGGUGCAAGGUGAGAUACUUGAAGGUCUGGUUGCCUGUAUUGUCAGACGUGAAAGUUUUGAGAAACCUCCCACAACCUUCAUUAGAUAUCCUAACAGAUUUUCUGAUGCAUUUGAACAUUUUCUCAGAUUGUUUGAUGCUUCUGAUCUGUGAAGUUGAAAACACUUUAUAUGCCUACUGAUUCAGAAAGCUACCAUUAUAUGCAGGCGACUCUGAUUUAGGACCAAGUUUAUGACAAAUACAUGCUGCUAAUAGGUCAGAUGAGAAGCAGCAAAUGAAAGCACUUUUUGAAAAUGUUGGAUCUUCAAUGUGUUCGGACCACUGUGAUUGGUUUGGAAACAGUGGUCUUGAGGCGAUGUCUCGAAAUGCUGAUACAUUACCCGUCAUCCAUUUUCUACAACUGCGUCCAACGAACUAUGAAAUUAAGAAAUUACAGGUUAGCUCAUUUUAUUGGUUCUUGUCCAACAAUAGAUUGUUCUUGACUGUAAUGGACAUACUUCCAUUUUAAAUGCAUGAUAACUAUAAUAUCAGAAAGCGAAUAGCUUGUUAGAUAGUAAUUCAGUUCUUCCUGUUUUGAACUGUUACAAGAGAUGUUUCAUCUGGUGAAGCAGAAAAAUUUCCCUGCAGCUUUCAGAUGUUACUGGAAUAAUAAAAAAAUUGAUUCUCUUUCAAAUGAUUACUUGUACUACAAUGCUUAUCCAUGGGCACAGUGAUUCUGCUUUUGGACAUUAUCAGCAAGAGAUGAGGUAAAUUUGCGAAAUCAUCCUUGUAUUACAAGAUGCUUAUCCAUGGACGUUUAAAUUUUCACCCGUCUUUAAAAAUAUAAUGCCUUCAUUCAUACGUUAUGAUUUUUUUCUCUCGCUUUUGCCAUUUUUUAUUUCUCACCUACCUUCACCACUUAUGAUUAAAUCCGCAUACUAAAACUUCUCUCCUUCCCUAGACAAUGACUUCAUGGCUACCAUGACCAUCUUCCUAUACUAUUAAUGGCUUAUUUAUUUCCCAUGUCUGAAUAAGUUACACUUUAUAAUAUGAAAUGGAUAGAGUAUCUCAUUAGUAUAUGGAAAUAUCUCUUCUUUCUUCUUCUUUUUUUAGAUUUAUUAACUCUAAUGGAUCCCCCAUUUUCCUUUCUAGGAAAAAUCAAGAGCAUGCAUAUUUAGUACUGUACUUUAUAAGAAGCAGUUUCCUUUCCAACCCAUACAAUCUCCAUAGUACACUAUGUUCUACUAGUAUAUGGUACGUGCUAUGCACGUGAUGUUUUGUGAUCAAACAACAAUCAAGUUUACACCAUACAAUUGUACAUCGUCAACUCAUCAUUGGUGGCUUCAUGCCAUAUGACUUUACACGAUGGGUGCUUCACAAAACAGCCGCAAAAGUUCUUGCAUAGAACUUUUACUUUCAUCAACAACAGAACUCCAGAAAUAUCGUGUCCAACUUGUUUUGGUGCGUAGCCGCACCAAGCGAAUUCCAAAAAUCAGGGCCGUUGGGUCACUUGAAAUCAAUGGCUAAUAAAUGCUUCUAUAUCACGGCGGGUGAUGAGUCCAAAUUAAAAAAUUCAUGUACUGCGUGUGGAUUUAGGGAUUAUUACUGGAGACAAUGGAAAAACUUGAAUCAUGUUUGUAAAAUGAAUUUAUAAGAGAAUGUAAUAGCUAUUUAAUUACAACAUAUAUUAAGCUUUCACUUUAUUUGUGUUUGUAAUCUCAUAACCAGGCGGAUCAAUCAAUUGAAAAAAAGAAGAUAAUGAAUAGUAGUAUUAAGCAUAUGAUUAUUUGUACUAAAUAAAAUCCCUUCAGUUAACAUUUUGCCCUUACCGUGGCUGCACUGCUGCAUGCACUUCUCCGUCUCUGUCCCAUCACGUGUAGCAGUACUUUUGCAUGGUGGAAUUUCUUGCCAGUAGUAGUACUCUAGGGUAGCACUCUCAUGGGAGCCUACCGGAGAUUUCUAGGAUGCUGUGUCCGGCGGAAGAUUCACGAACCUGCAUGUACUCUCUACUGCGGUGGAAGUCUGCCAGCGAAGGGUGUGCACACUGCGAAUCCCUCCAUUGUGGGCCGUCCGAUCACUCCAUCUGACGGUCUAUAAGAGGCCACAUAGUCCUCUAUCUAAACCAAUUGAGUGCGAGCCGUCGGAUUACAAAGAUCCAACGGUCUAUAUAUCUUCAUAUUGAUACACUAUAUAGGAGUAUAUAUAUGUUCUAUUGUGUGGUUGUUGGUAUUCUAAAAACACUUCUAUGAUAAGCCUAGCAUUCUGUGUCCACAGCCAGGAGGCCUGUAAGAGUUACUAAUUUAAGAUAAUACUGACGCGCCCAAUUCAUCAUAUAAUACCAAUAAACGUGAUAAUGUGAGUCGGGGAGUACAAGUCCGUCGCAGCAAAGUUUGCAUCAACACAAUGGAAGUGGUAUUCUGUAGAAAAAUAGCAGCCAUCAUCUCACAGACACCUGUACAAUUACUUACAAGAGCAAUCAUGUAGUUAGAACGACAUAUUAGUAUAGUUUUGCUAUAACUGAGGCUAAGUUCUGCCGUAAUGUUCUUGUUGCUGAUAGCAUGUGUAUUGAUGAAAAGUUAGAUGACAUGGAUGCUUAUGAGAUUCUCUGUGUAGGUGCUUUCAUCUGAUAAUUUUGAUAUUUUAUUUACUGAAUAAUCUUCCGAGAAUCAGGUUUGUAAAAGAAGACCUUAUCCAUGGCUGCAUUUUUCCCUUGUGGGUAUUAUGAAUUGUUCAAUUCGUUUUUUGUUAACUGCUCAAGUAACUUUCUAGCAUUUGAAGAGUCGUAUUAUCUUAUGAAUUGCUUUAAACUUUGUAUGUGUUCUUCAGAAUUAUUUUAAGGACUUGACACUUUGGAAUCUGAGACUAUCUCUGAAUCUCCAAGUGGAAUAGGGGUUAUACGGAUUGAAGAUAACAAAGCGCGUACAUAUAUGUUCAUUCCUACAUGCUGACACCAGGUCAAUGAAUUUGUCAAGAUUGCUAGAGCUGCAAACAUCCGUGCUUACAUAAUUUUCCAACUGAAGAAUGACAUAACUGCAAUGACGGGGAAAGCCAAGGCUCAACGGCGACUCAUUGACAGCUUACAUGAUGAGUAGGGAACCUGAUGGGCUACCCUCUUAGAAAUUUGCUUGGUAAAGGCCUCAUGUCACUUGGCAUCAAAGAGCUCAAGCUUCUUGAAAAGCAACUUGAUUCAUCCUCAAGGUACAUAAGAUCCAAAAGACUAAUUGAUUUCUUUCAGUAUAAUCAUGAUUCAGAAGAAAGGAGCACUAGCUCUUUCGUUGUCUAUAGAAAACAGUACAAAUUGUUCCUUUGUUCUGCUUAUUUCUACUGUGUUAAAUAAUAAUAGGCAAUAUUAUGCUGCUAGAUGUAGGGUUUCAUGAUCACUUUUGACCUGUGUUGUAGGUAGAUUACACCUAUUUUUGUCUUGCUUUGAUUUUAAGUAAAAUUGAGCUGGGCGUGUGCUCUGUUCAAACAAUAAACAAAAUAGAGUAUCCUCAUGCUGUAAAUAUACCUCAGUUUUUUUUCAAUUUACUUAACACAUCUCAGGUUAGUGAGAUGCUCUGUACACUACAUCUAUUGAACUAUGUGCAGUUUUCAGCUUGAUGUCUUUGAUUUAACGUCAUUAUUCUAGGACUGGAAUAUUUAGCAUUUGACAUAUUGAUUCCAGUAAUGCAAUUAAUGCAUUGUAAAAACUAGGAAUAAUUUGGCUGUGUCGUCCUCGAUAUGUUAUGACACAAAAAUGUUGAUCAUUUUCACGAUUGCAGACACAUCAUAUGCUUCAUCAUCUCACUGGUCUCUAGAGCAAGGUAGGCUCUUAACAAAAUAAAUUUUAUCAUAUUAUGUAUUCAUAAAUUUUCUCACACAAAUUUAUUCAGAUAUAAAAUCGACUGUACACUGAAUAAUUUUGUAGGGAGAUCUUUUGAGAAGAAAAUAAGUGCCUUAGAAGAAAAGAAAAUGUAAUUUCCCAUUGCAUGUAUUAAUUAGAUUACUGAAUUCUUUCCCUCGAGAAGAAAUAAUUUAACUCAGUCAUUUCUGUCCUUUCUUUCGGGUUUAAUCUUCAUAAAAGUGGUUGAGUUUUGGCGUUGGCUCGCCAAGCCUAUCAAGCUUGUCCAACAUUGUCUGAGAUAGUUUGGGCAUAUUCAGCACAGGCCUCCUGAAGCUCUCGUGCAUAGCGGAUAGCUAAAGCAUGCUGAUACUGUCAAGAGAGGUCGGGGUAGACCGAACUUGACAUGGGAGGAGUCCGUAAAGAGAGAUAUGAAGAACUGGUGUACCAUCAAAGAACUAGCCAUGGACAGGGGUGCGUGGAAACUUGCUAUCCAUGUGCCAGAACCAUGAGUUAGAUGCAUUAUCUUAUGGGUUUCACCUCUAGCCUACCCCAACUUGUUUGGGACUAAAGGCUUUGUUAUUAUUAUUGUUAUUGUUACAUUUCUGUCCUUUCUAGGAGGAUUUCAAUUGUUUUCCCAAUUUUCCUUCCACCAUUUUGUAACCCUUUGCAGAACCGUCUGGGGAGGUUCGCAGCAUUGUCUACUCAUCUGAUGGGAAAUCGGUAUCUGUUAUCUAUCAUGUGGUUAUGGAACUGAUACAGAUGACCCUUCUUUGCCUGGGGGUUAUAUGUGGUUCAGUUUGCAGAAUCUUGUUUGGUUUUACAUUGAUCUUACAUGCUCAAUUUUUAAGCGUAUAACCAGUUUGUAGGUCCAAAUAUUUGGUAUGUGGACGUGACCAAUGGGGCAUGGAGAUUAUGGUGAGGCAUGGUGCUGUGGUGGCGGCGGUGAAGGUAACCUCGUCGAAGGCGGUGUCGCUGGAUGGCUAUCGAUGAAAGCGGCAUGGGGAUGGGGGAGGUGGAGUGUCGAGGGAUGGAGGCAUCGAACGGCAGCCAGGGAGACGGGGUUGCAGUGAGAUUGGACUAGCUUGCCUAGGAGUGUGGGCAAGAUUUCCUUUCCAGGAUGGCCGAGGGUUUCUCUCUCUCUCUCUCUCUGUGUGUGUGUGUGUGUGUGUGUGUGUGUGUGUGUGUGUGUGUGUGUCAAUAGACCAUAAACUUUUCUUCAUUUAUAGUGCUAAAGAUAUGUCAAUACAUGUUCUUACAUUUAGGCUCCUAAACUUGUUGAAUGAGUUCUAUAUACAAGAUUUAAGUUGUCCUUCUAUAAAUUAAGACUGCCUUUGCUAAUCUUUGUUGCAUUGCUAUUGAUGAGUCUAUAAUUGUCAACCUGGACAGUAACAACACUAUCGUUUUAUCUCUCAAUGUGAGCAAGUAAGAUUUUGUUCAGAGCUUUAUUCUAUUGGAUUAUUUUUCUAUUACAGAAGUUGAUGCUCGAUCUUGUUAUUCAUUUCCUGGGAUCAUUUCUUAGUCUACUGCAUCAUUAACAAGAGCUUGGGGAUUGCUUCGAGGAUUCUGCGGAUUUCUCCCAUAACCUCUUGUAGUGACACAAUGCUAUGAUCUUCAACCAUAAAAAUGAAACCGUCAGCAUUGAUGGCCUGCUCCUAUGAUCUCACAGAGCGUCACCAAUGGUGAUAGCGUUGUGUCAAGGAGAAGGUGGAGAGGGAGAAAGAGAAAAGGAGAAUGGAAGCCAAGUGAUAGACAAAGGGAGUGAAAGAUAGAAGACAGGCAAUAACUUCUGUUCUCUUACUAACGCUUUAUUUAUUGAGGACCUGUAUCAAUGCACAGUUAUUUAUCGCUGUAUGAUGAAAACAUUUGGCGACUCAAACAGACAAAAAAUAAACAAAUUUUAUGUCCUUU